UUUUAUGAGAGUUUGAUCCUGGCUCAGGACGAACGCUGGCGGCGUGCCUAAUACAUGCAAGUAGAACGCUUCUUUUUCCAUCGGAGCUUGCUCCACCGGAAAAAGAGGAGUGGCGAACGGGUGAGUAACACGUGGGUAACCUGCCCAUCAGAAGGGGAUAACACUUGGAAACAGGUGCUAAUACCGUAUAAUAAUCAAAACCGCAUGGUUUUGAUUUG
RNAcentral lists this ribosomal RNA (218 nucleotides) under Enterococcus lacertideformus. RNAcentral describes it as "Bacterial small subunit ribosomal RNA". It matches the Rfam family "Bacterial small subunit ribosomal RNA", at positions 1 to 203 of the family's 1533-position model. The record is from Rfam by way of RNAcentral. Lineage: Bacteria; Bacillati; Bacillota; Bacilli; Lactobacillales; Enterococcaceae.